UACGGAGGGGGUUAGCGUUGUUCGGAAUUACUGGGCGUAAAGCGCACGUAGGCGGAUCAGAAAGUAUAGGGUGAAAUCCCAGGGCUCAACCCUGGAACUGCCUUAUAAACUCCUGGCUCUGAUGUCGAGAGAGGUAAGUGGAAUUCCGAGUGUAGAGGUGAAAUUCGUAGAUAUUCGGAGGAACACCAGUGGCGAAGGCG
This 200-nucleotide ribosomal RNA is filed under the name uncultured bacterium. RNAcentral describes it as "partial 16S ribosomal RNA". It matches the Rfam family "Bacterial small subunit ribosomal RNA", at positions 524 to 723 of the family's 1533-position model. The record is from RNAcentral.